GGAAAUCUUAAAACCAGAGGCACACCAUUCAGGAGAGAAACUGGAGAUACACUUCUUCACAUUCAGACUGGUGUAUGUGUGUUGACUUAAUGCCACAAAUUAUGCAAAGCCAUUGUGCCAGUUAACCAAAGGCUUGCUUGAAGAGUAAGCAAAGGCAUGUGGCAUAAUUGAAGAAUCUGAAAAGUUUAUGUCUUGCUUCCGGGAGUCUGCUCCUCAUGAUUGGAACAUAUUGAUUGAUUUAACUUUAAUAAUGUCUUGCUUGAGCAUCGAACUAAUGUUCAUGGUG
Long non-coding RNA from Rhincodon typus (whale shark), 286 nucleotides. RefSeq lists it as uncharacterized. The record is from RefSeq and is a predicted model, not a curated record. NCBI's taxonomy places the organism in Eukaryota, Metazoa, Chordata, Chondrichthyes, Orectolobiformes, Rhincodontidae. The transcript is spliced from 3 exons.